CAGAUGUUUGAUGGGUUCCUGAAGAUGCGUCGACGUGUUAUCAUCCACGCAAACUUCCCCAACCCAACCAGUGUACCACAAGACAACAUGCAUUCAGGAGGACGGGAGGAGGGAGCGAGCGGCUGCAUGCACUAUUGAACGGGGCAGCAUUACAUUCUUCCCACAGUUGUAUGACUACACUGAAGCAAGCCCAGAAUAAAGUGUUGAGUGACCAUGAUGAAUCAGCACUACUAACGCCAAAGAAGUGAGGGAAGUGUUUGGAGUGAGCGUGCAAGACCUACAACAGACACCACACUACUACUGCCGCUGUAGCCAAAGGAACAAGAGGAGGCAGAGGAGGAUGAAGAAGUGGAACAAGAGAGUGAUUCAUGGAGAUGUACCAAUGAAGUUCUGCAGAGACGACCAACUCGUCAGGAAGUCAACUGAUCACGCAGGGACGCCAAAGAACGCC
Long non-coding RNA from Portunus trituberculatus (swimming crab), 451 nucleotides. RefSeq lists it as uncharacterized. NCBI's taxonomy places the organism in Eukaryota, Metazoa, Arthropoda, Malacostraca, Decapoda, Portunidae. The transcript is spliced from 3 exons. The record is from RefSeq and is a predicted model, not a curated record.